Molecule: long non-coding RNA, 243 nt
Filed under: Elaeis guineensis (African oil palm)
Lineage: Eukaryota; Viridiplantae; Streptophyta; Magnoliopsida; Arecales; Arecaceae
Description: long non-coding RNA (EGUI_LNC025594)
Source: RNAcentral
UUCCUCGUGGUCCGAGUCCCUUCAGCCUAUAAUGUUAUAUUGGGAUGACCUAAACUAAAUGUGCUUCGAGCAAUUGUUUCAUUAUAUCAUUUGCUUGUACGCUUCUCGAUGAGGAAUGGGACUAGUGAAAUGAGAGGAGAUCACAGUUGGCCCAAUAAUGUUACUUGAUCGUAAUAAAGAAAAAAAGCCAACUGAAGCUCUUUCCAUCGACAGAUUGGAUUAGAGAGAAGAGGAAAGCCAGGG